RNA transcript from Myotis brandtii (Brandt's bat), 2016 nucleotides. It is a transcript of the gene named solute carrier family 1 (neutral amino acid transporter), member 5, with no coding region annotated. The record is from RefSeq and is a predicted model, not a curated record. The transcript has 10 exons. NCBI's taxonomy places the organism in Eukaryota, Metazoa, Chordata, Mammalia, Chiroptera, Vespertilionidae.
AGCCAUCGGCAACGCCUCUGUCCCGAGCGACGUCUCGCCAGACGAGGUCCCCAGCAAGGAGGUGCUGGAUUCCUUCUUGGAUCUUGUGAGCCAGCCACUCCCAGACUCGGCUGAAAUAUCUUGAGCGACACAGCUGGACGCAGACACGCAGACACGUGGCCAGGGCUGUGAUGUCGCACACUGACAGCUGGGCUCGCCCCAACUGUCACACACGCACGUCCUAUCACGACAGCGGCCGCGGGAACACAGAUGCACAUUCAUGACGCACACAGCCGUCUCUUGUCUCCCUCUGUCCCCACCUCUUCCCAACGCCCAGAGCCGCCCGCCAGCCCCCAGGGCCAGCCUGCCCUUUUCUCGGAGGAAGUGGCUGAUGCAAGAUGUCCAGGAAAUCUCUUCCCUUCCAACCUGGUGUCCGCAACCUUCCGCACAUACUCUACCUACUACACAAAGGAAAACGGAACCUAUGUGAAGGCGGAGGGUGAGGUGGAGGGUAUGAACAUCCUGGGCCUGGUGGUGUUUGCCAUCGCCUUUGGCGUGUGCCUGCGGAAGCUGGGGCCUGACGGGGAGCUACUCAUCCGCUUCUUCAACUCCUUCAACGACGCCACCAUGGUGCUGGUCUCCUGGAUCAUGUGGUAUGCCCCCGUGGGCAUCUUGUUCCUGGUGGCCAGCAAGAUCGCGGAGGGGGGCGACGUGGGGAAGCUCUUCGCCAAACUCGGCAAAUACAUCCUGUGCUGCCUGCUGGGCCACGCCAUCCACGGGCUCCUGGUGCUGCCCCUCAUCUACUUCCUCUUCACUCGGAAGAACCCCUACCGCUUCCUGUGGGGCAUCAUGACACCGCUGGCCACCGCCUUCGGGACCGCCUCCAGCUCCGCCACUUUACCGCUGAUGAUGAAGUGCGUGGAGGAGAGGAACGGCGUCUCUAAGCACAUCUGCCGCUUCAUCCUGCCCAUCGGCGCCACCGUCAACAUGGACGGAGCCGCGCUCUUCCAGUGUGUGGCCGCGGUGUUCAUCGCCCAGAACAAGCAGCUCCCCUUGGACUUCGUGAAGAUCAUCACCAUCUUGGUCACUGCCACAGCGUCCAGCGUGGGCGCCGCGGGCAUCCCUGCUGGAGGCGUCCUCACCCUGGCCAUCAUCCUGGAGGCAGUCGGUCUGCCGGUUGACAUCUCCUGGAUCCUGGCUGUGGACUGGCUAGUGGACCGUUCCUGUACCGUCCUCAACGUGGAAGGCGACGCCUUUGGGGCGGGCCUCCUCCAGCAUUACGUGGAUCGGACAAAGCCUGCGAGCUCGGUGCCCCAGCUGGUCGAGGUGAAGACGUGUGUGGAUCCGAUGCCCGUCCCCAUUGAGGAGGGGAACCCCCUCCUCAAAAGCUACCCGAGACCUGCUGCGGAUGCUGACGGCUUUGAGAAGGAAUCCGUCAUGUAAGCCCAGUCGGGACCUUCCCUGCCGAUGGGGCACUUUGGACAUUCAAAUCGCACGAGAUGGAUAAAGGGACACGCCGGGGCUCUGGCGGCCCUGCCCGUACACUCCGGGGAGCCAGGGGCCCAGCCUCCCUCCCCUGCCCCAGAUCGAAGGAAGUCUGGUCCAAUCCUUGGAUAAACUGGUACAAUGAUCAUUAUGCGAUUGAAGGCUGCUUGGCAAAAAAAAGCAAGUACUGGUACACAGUUGAUCCUCGAACAACACGGGUUUGAAUUGCGGAGGUCCGCUUAUACGUAGAUUUAAAAAAUAAAUAAAUACCUGUAUUGUUUUGAUCUGUUGGGAGUCUGGAUGCAGAGGGCUGACUGUAUGCAUUGCUCUAUGUCCUAUACUAGAUCAAUGCAUACAGGGGACUUGAAUGUCCAUGGAUUUCCGUAUCCAACGGGGUCCUGGAACCAGUCCUCUGGAUACUGAGGGACAACUUAAGUUCUGGGAAAAUCAAGUUUGACUUAUGGGGGGUCGGGGCCCCGAACACCCCUGUUGUUCAAGGUCAACUGUACUCAACGUGGGUGCAUCUCACAGAUAAUAUGUGGAGUGAAAGAA